Molecule: ribosomal RNA, 1393 nt
Filed under: Lactobacillus sp.
Lineage: Bacteria; Bacillati; Bacillota; Bacilli; Lactobacillales; Lactobacillaceae
Description: bacterial SSU rRNA
Rfam family: Bacterial small subunit ribosomal RNA
Source: RNAcentral
UUGGUGCUUGCAUCAUGAUUUACAUUUGAGUGAGUGGCGAACUGGUGAGUAACACGUGGGAAACCUGCCCAGAAGCGGGGGAUAACACCUGGAAACAGAUGCUAAUACCGCAUAACAACUUGGACCGCAUGGUCCGAGUUUGAAAGAUGGCUUCGGCUAUCACUUUUGGAUGGUCCCGCGGCGUAUUAGCUAGAUGGUGGGGUAACGGCUCACCAUGGCAAUGAUACGUAGCCGACCUGAGAGGGUAAUCGGCCACAUUGGGACUGAGACACGGCCCAAACUCCUACGGGAGGCAGCAGUAGGGAAUCUUCCACAAUGGACGAAAGUCUGAUGGAGCAACGCCGCGUGAGUGAAGAAGGGUUUCGGCUCGUAAAACUCUGUUGUUAAAGAAGAACAUAUCUGAGAGUAACUGUUCAGGUAUUGACGGUAUUUAACCAGAAAGCCACGGCUAACUACGUGCCAGCAGCCGCGGUAAUACGUAGGUGGCAAGCGUUGUCCGGAUUUAUUGGGCGUAAAGCGAGCGCAGGCGGUUUUUUAAGUCUGAUGUGAAAGCCUUCGGCUCAACCGAAGAAGUGCAUCGGAAACUGGGAAACUUGAGUGCAGAAGAGGACAGUGGAACUCCAUGUGUAGCGGUGAAAUGCGUAGAUAUAUGGAAGAACACCAGUGGCGAAGGCGGCUGUCUGGUCUGUAACUGACGCUGAGGCUCGAAAGUAUGGGUAGCAAACAGGAUUAGAUACCCUGGUAGUCCAUACCGUAAACGAUGAAUGCUAAGUGUUGGAGGGUUUCCGCCCUUCAGUGCUGCAGCUAACGCAUUAAGCAUUCCGCCUGGGGAGUACGGCCGCAAGGCUGAAACUCAAAGGAAUUGACGGGGGCCCGCACAAGCGGUGGAGCAUGUGGUUUAAUUCGAAGCUACGCGAAGAACCUUACCAGGUCUUGACAUACUAUGCAAAUCUAAGAGAUUAGACGUUCCCUUCGGGGACAUGGAUACAGGUGGUGCAUGGUUGUCGUCAGCUCGUGUCGUGAGAUGUUGGGUUAAGUCCCGCAACGAGCGCAACCCUUAUUAUCAGUUGCCAGCAUUAAGUUGGGCACUCUGGUGAGACUGCCGGUGACAAACCGGAGGAAGGUGGGGAUGACGUCAAAUCAUCAUGCCCCUUAUGACCUGGGCUACACACGUGCUACAAUGGAUGGUACAACGAGUUGCGAACUCGCGAGAGUAAGCUAAUCUCUUAAAGCCAUUCUCAGUUCGGAUUGUAGGCUGCAACUCGCCUACAUGAAGUCGGAAUCGCUAGUAAUCGCGGAUCAGCAUGCCGCGGUGAAUACGUUCCCGGGCCUUGUACACACCGCCCGUCACACCAUGAGAGUUUGUAACACCCAAAGUCGGUGGGGUAACCUU